This 73-nucleotide transfer RNA is filed under the name Yersinia enterocolitica (type O:5,27) str. YE149/02. RNAcentral describes it as "transfer RNA-Ala". Lineage: Bacteria; Pseudomonadati; Pseudomonadota; Gammaproteobacteria; Enterobacterales; Yersiniaceae. The record is from RNAcentral.
ACGAUUUAUUAUGUGCGCAUUGGGGCUAUAGCUCAGCUGGGAGAGCGCUUGCAUGGCAUGCAAGAGGUCGACG